AUCUUAAUGAGAGUUUGAUCCUGGCUCAGGACGAACGCUGGCGGCGUGCCUAAUACAUGCAAGUAGAACGCUGAGGACUGGUGCUUGCACCGGUCCAAGGAGU
This 103-nucleotide ribosomal RNA is filed under the name Streptococcus dysgalactiae subsp. equisimilis. Its description in RNAcentral is "partial 16S ribosomal RNA". It matches the Rfam family "Bacterial small subunit ribosomal RNA", at positions 1 to 96 of the family's 1533-position model. Lineage: Bacteria; Bacillati; Bacillota; Bacilli; Lactobacillales; Streptococcaceae. The record is from RNAcentral.